Molecule: transfer RNA, 96 nt
Filed under: Nannocystis exedens
Lineage: Bacteria; Pseudomonadati; Myxococcota; Nannocystales; Nannocystaceae
Description: tRNA-Arg
Source: RNAcentral
UCGACCUUGUUGAGGAUCAGGCGCGACGGCGCCUGCGUCGCGCCGAUCUCGCCGAUGACCUCGCGGGUGACCGCGUACUGGUCGCGGAAGGUCGGG